CUGGUCCGCCAUAGUUUGUGGGUGUGUAGAGCAGAGAAAACACACAGCAAACCCAUAAUCAAAUUGGCUGGGCCAGGGAUCGUCUUCUUGCUUCAGCUUUAUUACUUCUGUUUUAUCACGAUGACAUCAUACUUGUGGAUUUUCUUUCUUGCAAGUCUAUCAUUUGGAGCAAAUGGGCAAGACUUGGAUCUUACAGAUGAAUUCCACUAUGAACUUG
This is a long non-coding RNA of Megalops cyprinoides (Indo-Pacific tarpon), 217 nucleotides long. RefSeq lists it as uncharacterized. The transcript is spliced from 3 exons. Lineage: Eukaryota; Metazoa; Chordata; Actinopteri; Elopiformes; Megalopidae. The record is from RefSeq and is a predicted model, not a curated record.